CGGAGGAAAAGAAACUAACAAGGAUUCCCCUAGUAACUGCGAGUGAAGCGGGAAAAGCUCAAAUUUAAAAUCUGGCGGUCUUUGGCUGUCCGAGUUGUAAUCUAGAGAAGUGUUAUCCGCGCUGGACCG
RNAcentral lists this ribosomal RNA (129 nucleotides) under Galerina atkinsoniana. RNAcentral's name for it is "partial 28S ribosomal RNA". It matches the Rfam family "Eukaryotic large subunit ribosomal RNA", at positions 51 to 177 of the family's 3401-position model. The record is from RNAcentral. Lineage: Eukaryota; Fungi; Basidiomycota; Agaricomycetes; Agaricales; Galerinaceae.